CCCUCGUACAUGAUUCUGGACACACUCCGGGAGGAACUAGCACGUCAUCAUAAUGCUGCACUCAACCUGGAGGUCAACCUUAACCUGUGGCUUCCGUUACCCAGUUGUCAAUCCCUGAGUAUUUAAACUCUUAGAUGUUGACCGUUCAAGUUAUGGAGUUUGCUAAGUUUUAAGUUGUACCCUAAAAGUCUGUUAAGAUUGAUGUGUAUGUAAUCCGUUUAGUUUCUCAUGUUUUCGUUAUACGCCCGACCUUGAGGGCUGGGUCUGUAUGUGUAUACGUACAUGGCUAUCUUCAGACGCACGUC
Molecule: non-coding RNA, 305 nt
Organism: Camellia sinensis
Lineage: Eukaryota; Viridiplantae; Streptophyta; Magnoliopsida; Ericales; Theaceae
Source: RefSeq, a predicted model, not a curated record